Molecule: long non-coding RNA, 2738 nt
Organism: Columba livia (rock pigeon)
Lineage: Eukaryota; Metazoa; Chordata; Aves; Columbiformes; Columbidae
Exons: 7
Source: RefSeq, a predicted model, not a curated record
UGUGGGAAAAACAAAAGGGCAGCAGAGCGAUGUCGGGGCACCGAGGGCCCCUCACGGGUGUGGGUGAGAGCCCGGCCCACAGCGCGGGGCUCAGGCACCCGCAGCACUUGUUUUCUUGGCAAAAAGACUUUUUGCAAGUGGCUCUCUCAACGCUGUUUUGCUCAGUCUUAAUAAUUAAAAGUUUAAGAGAGACGUUAGGGAAUACCCAUUAUUUAAGAUGGUGAAUUGAAGGAGGUUAUACUGAAAGUACAUCUAAAACCUUCCAGAGCCCAGUCCUGACACUUCUGUGCCUCCACGGGAUCCUCGUUGGGUGGGCAGGAGCUGCUAGUGUGAGUCUCUAGGUGAUCUGGGAAAAGGUGUCUGCCGUCCUGCCUCUCUCAGGUGUUAGGGUAGAUUGCAAAUCCAUGUUUGAUCUAUCUGUGUGUGAUCUGUGUGUACAAAAGUAUCAACUGGCUGGUGGCUCUUCUGAAAGCAACUCACUCUCUGGAAUUAAAUUCAGAUAGAAAUGAUAGUGCAAGAUGGGUUGCCCUGGAAAUCAAACAAAGUGCUUGGCGUUGGCAGGUCCUUCUCACUGUGUCAGAGCUGCUUACACCGAGUAUCAAAUCAGGUCAGGCUCUUCUUUAGCAGCGGCUCCGGUUUGCAGCUUUGCAGGAAAAUUUGCAGGUAUCUUUUAAAAGAACAGACAAUGUGCAUUUGGAUGUUGAUUUGAAUCAUUCAAGGUGCUCAUCUUAAAAGUAACAGACUCCAAGUGAGAAAGCUGCAGUGCCGUGUCAGUGUACAGCAGAGCCUUGGACCAUUUCAUACCACUCUCCUCGAACUCUUUUCAAAGAAUUUGAUCAGAAUCAGUAGCAAAUCAUGCUCAACAGAUAAGUACCUGUGACCUAUUGUUAGAAAUCAGUGUCCUGGUUCUUUAAGUGUUUUGCACAUACCAGCUGAUAUUCCCUUGCAGCACAGUGGUAAAGUAUGUAAGGAUCUACAGCAUUACUUUGAUUUGAUAGAGAGGGAUUGAUGAGAGAGGUUAAGAAUCAAAUCAGUCAACCCUUCUUAUUCAACAAAACCCCUAAGUAGCCUGAGGAAUCCUUUGGAGUGAGCUGGGGAUCAACUUUAUUUAAUAUUGGUAUAUAUCACCGCUCUUUCUCUAAAGAAUUGAUCUCUCUGUCUCUUCUGUAUUUAAAAGUCAAUACAUCUAUCACAUAGCUGUGCUGGCAAGUUGGCAGAGACUCUUUUCAUAGACUAGACUAGUUCCUAGCAAGAGUUGCCUAACUUAAAAGAAAAGGUAACCCCAGCAGUAAUCUCCAUGCUAAAAACUGAACAGUAGAUCUUACAUUAAACCUGCUAAGAAGUUUUAUCCUAACCAUAGCUGCUUUGGGUGUUGGAAGAUGGUUGAUAAAGACUUCCUUGUUAAAAUAGUAUAAUGAAAGAAUUUUGUUCAAACUUGCAUGAUUCAAACAUUUCUAGGUUUGCUUUUAAAGAUGUUUGAGAAAGUUGGAUGAAAUGCCAGCCAAGCAGUAAGUGAUACAGCCCUCCCUUCCCGCAGCAGCCAGGAGAUGGGCAGAAGGUGCGGUGUGAGGACGCACAGUCCCUCAGCAUCUCCUGCUGCAGCGUUUCUUUCUGUGAGCAGAAACGUUACCGCCAGAGUCUGCCUUCUGUUCCAGUUUUGCAAUGUUACAAAUUUGUGAAUCUAAUCUGAAUAUAUCCCCCAGUGUAACUGCAUGAAGAAUUUUGACUCAAAUGUAAGGGAGCAAGGCACAUACAAGCUUUCUAGAACUUAAAGGAAUAGUAUGUAGAGACUCUAUAUGUAUAGGACCUUUCUAUCUGAAGUUAAUGUGCUGCAGUGUGACUCAUGCAGUUGGUGAAUGGCUUUGACAUCUGCAGUUUGGCCUGGCAUGAAUAAAGUCAAGCCAGGGAUCCACUAGCUCUUAAAAUCAGUGCCUGCUCCACUGUGCUUUAUUUCACAACUGGUUUUUUUGAGCCCGUCCUACUGAUGUUUUCAGCCACCUUGAGACGUCCCUUCUCUUUUCCAGCACUAACCUGAGAAGCAGUGAAAAAGGGAAGUCAUUUGGAUGUUAAAAUGACUUCCCUCUCCCUUAAGAUGUUUGUGGCUGGGGUAUUUAAACUGUGGCAUGGGGACAGCAAGGAGUAAGCAGCUCAGCAACUGCAGGAGGGAAGAAAAGUGCAUGGCACAACUGCAACACAGAUGAAAAGGAUUUAUUUUGUAAGCUCAGCUCACUUGGGCCCUGAAGGAGUCAAUGAAUCCCACAUCUGCUGUGAGGUUUGGCAGGAACCAGAAGUGAUCCCUUCCUCCAGUAAUGAGCCAGAUGAUAAGGAAAAGGAUACAGCGAGCUGUAUGAAAAAAAGAAAAGAGAUUUUUUUUUUUUUAACGAUAAACAUCCACAUUGUACAACUAUGGUUUAACAGGUAUCCACUGCUACCACCCACCCAAAGCCAGGGACAGGGGUGACCUUGGGGCAAAAUCUCUCAUUCUGCAGCAGCAUAAUGGAAUAGUUUGUUCUCACCACAUCUCCCCCACCGGAUUAACCAUGUAUCUUAUCUAUGAUUUAGCUCUGCUAAAGAAAUACAAGCCAAAGAAAGCUUUAAAAUCCUAGUUACACCAUUCUCACUACUGAAUCUGUACAUAUAUACAGUUGCUGGGUUUUGGGUUUUGUGGGGUUUUUUUGUUUGUUUUUAAUGGAAGCUGUAGACAAAUCUCCACUAUGCAUUAAACACAGGUGACACAA